This 293-nucleotide ribosomal RNA is filed under the name uncultured bacterium. RNAcentral describes it as "partial 16S ribosomal RNA". It matches the Rfam family "Bacterial small subunit ribosomal RNA", at positions 775 to 1067 of the family's 1533-position model. The record is from RNAcentral.
GGAUUAGAUACCCUGGUAGUCCACGCCGUAAACGAUGUCUACUUGAAGGUUGUGAUCUUGAAUCGUGGCUUUCGGAGCUAACGCGUUAAGUAGACCGCCUGGGGAGUACGGUCGCAAGAUUAAAACUCAAAUGAAUUGACGGGGGCCCGCACAAGCGGUGGAGCAUGUGGUUUAAUUCGAUGCAACGCGAAGAACCUUACCUACUCUUGACAUCCAGAGAACCUUCUAGAGAUAGAAGGGUGCCUUCGGGAACUCUGAGACAGGUGCUGCAUGGCUGUCGUCAGCUCGUGCCG